Long non-coding RNA from Lagopus leucura (white-tailed ptarmigan), 1642 nucleotides. RefSeq lists it as uncharacterized. The record is from RefSeq and is a predicted model, not a curated record. NCBI's taxonomy places the organism in Eukaryota, Metazoa, Chordata, Aves, Galliformes, Phasianidae. The transcript has 3 exons.
ACCAGCUGAGCUCAAGCAGAAACUUGAGCUGAACCCAAAGCACCUGCAUUUGUGAGUGAUCUCCUAUGGGGCUUCUCAUGCUUGGGUCUGCAGCAGCAGGUUUCAACCACAUUUGAGAGAAGGUGUUGCAGUGCUGAUGAGAGACUUUGUUACUGCAAUUCCUUUGUGUAAAAUUUACUCAAGUCUUCGCUUGCUGUGGUUUGGAGGGCAGUGUGUGUGCUGCCUGACUGCUUGGGGCUGCUUUGUUCCUGUGUCCUCUGGGCUGAGUGACACAGAGAGGUGGAGCAGCUGCAUGCCAGAAGUCUCACUGCCUUGGUGAAGAGGUGCAGCUGGGGACCUGAAGGGCACUGGGCAAGCACACAGCAGCGCCAUCUCACCUGAAGACCUCCUGCACUUUUUCUGCCAUGAGCCUGGUGGGAGAAGGAGACAGAGCAAGCCACAGCAGAUGGGACUGAGGUAGGAAAAGGACACAAAUCAGGCAAAGGAGGAAGGGCUUUUGCUCCCUUGCGUUUGCUUUCUGCCAGCACAAAACUCAUCCUGACUUCCUUCCAGAACAUCUUCUGACCUGCAGCUAGGACUUUUUCUGAGGAGGAGGACGCUGACAUUUCUCUCUGGCGAUGGUGCUUGCUGGAAGUGGAAGCAAAGAGGACACAGGAGCUGUUGUUUCAGCAGGCGGUGCAUUCAGGGGGUGGGGGGAGCUGCGUUCCAUCUCCUUGCCAUCUGCCAGGCACAGCUUUCUGCAUUGCAGCUCCACACAGGGAUGUUUAUUCCAUGGGAUGCAAUACGUAUGGAAUCUUCUGGUGCACGUGUGCUGUCGUUUCAGAUUCUUUUUAACAAGUUUAGUCUCCAAUUCCACAAACAUUUCAUCAUGUGCAUAGGACUGCUCGUAUAAAUUGUGUUACUACAGAAAAGAGUGCUUCUCCUCUGGUUUUAAAUAUGUAUUGUCAGGAGGAUUAAGGUCCCAGACUUUUAUAUUGCUUUUAUAAAAAGUCAAAAUCUAGAGAGAUUGUACUGGUUAAAUGACCAGCUGGGUUGUCAUUGUUUUAUUUCCUCAAAUGUUUAGAUUUUUGUAUUUUAAUGGUUAUUUAUUUUUCAAGAUACCCAUUCAAAGCUAUUACCACUUUAAAACCUGAUGAUGAUGAUCCGGCUGCAAUACAUCUGAGCCAUCUCUCUCCUGAUAGCUGAAGGAUGAGGACAAGCAUUACAUACACUGCUCAGCACUCUGGGAGGCAGCGUUCCUGUUGUUUUCUCUUUCUCCGCUGUUGAGAAGCUGCUUCACAGCAGUGCUCGCUCAUUAGCACAGCCCCACAGGUGGUGCUGGUUCCAGUUUGAGGUGACACUGUGUGUUGCUCUGCCUGAGCUGCUCUCCCUCCCCAGCUCCAUGUACUGUGUCACUGCGUGGUUUGUGUCACAGGAUGCAGGUAUUAAUGUACUUAACCAUGUACAUCAUCAUUAGAGGCAUUUUUUUGGUGUGAAUGGCCAGGUGGGCCUAAGCAUGAUGCCAGGGACAUGGAGGUGGUCCUUCUAACUGUAGCAUGAGGAGUGAUCUGAAGGGCUGAGCUGGGCUAAAGGACCUGUGGAUGCUAUUUCUUUCUGUGUUUUAGAUGGGGGAGGGGAAGAUGAUAAGACAAAAUAAAAUAAA